CAAUAGCGUAUAUUUAAGUUGUUGCAGUUAAAAAGCUCGUAGUUGGAUUUCGGGUAGGAUUUGCCGGUCCGUCUUUGAGAUGUGUACUGGUAAGUCCUAUCUUCUUGUCGGGGACCAGCUCCUAGGCUUCACUAUCCGGGACUGGGAGCCGACGAAGUUACUUUGAGUAAAUUAGAGUGUUCAAAGCAAGCCUACGCUCUGAAUAUAUUAGCAUGGAAUAACACGAUAGGACUCUGGCUUAUCUUGUUGGUCUGUGAGACCAGAGUAAUGAUUAAGAGGGACAGUCGGGGACAUUCGUAUUUCAUUGUCAGAGGUGAAAUUCUUGGAUUUAUGUAAGACGAACUUCUGCGAAAGCAUUUGUCAAGGAUGUUUUCAUUGA
RNAcentral lists this ribosomal RNA (379 nucleotides) under uncultured eukaryote. Its description in RNAcentral is "partial 18S ribosomal RNA". It matches the Rfam family "Eukaryotic small subunit ribosomal RNA", at positions 592 to 976 of the family's 1831-position model. The record is from RNAcentral.